UAAAGUGUAUGGAUGCAUUGCGAAUUAGCUACAGGGCAGCCGAAGCAAUGUGAACAAAGUUCGAUAUCAAGUCCGCCGUUGCUUGUUAAUGACGCCAUAAAGCGAGGAUGUAAACUAAAUUGCUUUGAAAGCCUAUGUAAGUGCUUCGUAAUCAGGGUGCUUACUAGCAUGACGACUCGUAAGGGCGUGCGGGAUAGCUUGUGCCAGCACUCCAGGAGGAGGUCCGUAUCGCCCUACUAAACAUCUUGUGCCAAAAAGAAAACUGUUACAGAAUUAAUUAACAGCACUCCAAUCCAAAACUGCGCUUGUUAAAGCUUUCAGCUGGGGUGCAGUGGGCCAAGCUCCGGGGUUCAGGAUCCAUAUCCUUGACCCGUCAACAAGGUACGUGCGUCAAGCGCGUUGCAGUUAGACCCACAUAGACAGCUUUUAGCAGGCUAGUUGCGAGCUCUUUCCAAACAAGUUGUCUUUGCUUUAACUAGCCGGAAAUAACCCCUUAACCCGUUCGCGUCCACUUCCCCGGUAACGGGGCCCCUUUAUCCUGAAAGUCAGCUCCUCCCAAACUCAGCGCCUCCUUUCCCCUUGAGGGUUACAACUGCACAGCCGUGAUACUUGUCACAACGAGCAUUCUAACACACCAAUCACCGACCGCCCAUAAAUGCCACGGACCACUGUAACCGCUCCAUCUCCACACCAUGCUAUAAGCCAAGGCGCGCACACCAUCCUCACCACUAGACCCGACCGAUUGGCGAAGACCCUCCACUCCGUGACGGCGAGGCUUUUCCUUGCCUAACCCCCUCACAAGCCAAUGCAACAAUUCGGAAUCUCCCAAAGCAACCCAGUUCACUCAAUCCGGCCACUAGCAUCGGCCAUUAGCAUCGCCACCCAGCUCAGCAAAUCAUUUCUGUACAUUUGUACACGCACGUCUGAGUUAUGUGUGUGUGUAUGUUACACCUCGGUUGCGUUACCCAGAGAGGUGUAACGAGUGCCCAUACGAGCCAUAAGAGUUGUAAUACCCAAUUCAUCACGUGGAAGGCAAACACAUUGACGAACGCCCCUGGACUGUCGCGGCAUGUAACACCGCCGCCGUCACCCUCUCCUCCAACAACAGUUCCCCGCCGUCCUCCAGCGCCGCCAGCGCCGCAGCCGCGGCUGCCGCCAUGUACGACACCGUUCUGUACGAGCAGUGCCCAUUGCGUCCGUGCCGUGGCGCUGACGCUGCCGCAGCUGCUCCAACCGACAAUCGCGCCACCUUGACUGCGUCCCGCUGCUGACCACCGCCACCCCCACCACCGCCACCACCACAGAUGCGAUCACAUCUGUCGCCGCCAGACAUGCCUCCGCGUAGAGGACUUGAGGGCGCAACACUGCUACCGCCGCCGCAGUCGUAGCCAGUGCGCGUCUG
RNAcentral lists this long non-coding RNA (1402 nucleotides) under Volvox carteri. Its description in RNAcentral is "long non-coding RNA (VCAR_LNC000468)". The record is from RNAcentral. Lineage: Eukaryota; Viridiplantae; Chlorophyta; Chlorophyceae; Chlamydomonadales; Volvocaceae.